GGGUUGUGAGGUUAAGCGACUAAGCGUACACGGUGGAUGCCCUGGCAGUCAGAGGCGAUGAAGGGCGUGCUAAUCUGCGAUAAGCGCCGGUAAGGUGAUAUGAACCGUUAUAACCGGCGAUACCCGAAUGGGGAAACCCAGUGUGAUUCGUCACACUAUCAUUAACUGAAUCCAUAGGUUAAUGAGGCGAACCGGGGGAACUGAAACAUCUAAGUACCCCGAGGAAAAGAAAUCAACCGAGAUUCCCCCAGUAGCGGCGAGCGAACGGGGAGGAGCCCAGAGCCUGAAUCAGCAUGUGUGUUAGUGGAAGCGUCUGGAAAGGCGCGCGAUACAGGGUGACAGCCCCGUACACAAAAGCGCAUGUGCUGUGAGCUCGAUGAGUAGGGCGGGACACGUGGUAUCCUGUCUGAAUAUGGGGGGACCAUCCUCCAAGGCUAAAUACUCCUGACUGACCGAUAGUGAACCAGUACCGUGAGGGAAAGGCGAAAAGAACCCCGGCGAGGGGAGUGAAAAAGAACCUGAAAUCGUGUACGUACAAGCAGUGGGAGCACAGGUUUACCUGUGUGACUGCGUACCUUUUGUAUAAUGGGUCAGCGACUUAUAUUCUGUAGCAAGGUUAACCGAAUAGGGGAGCCGGAGGGAAACCGAGUCUUAAUUGGGCGUUAAGUUGCAGGGUAUAGACCCGAAACCCGGUGAUCUAGCCAUGGGCAGGUUGAAGGUUGGGUAACACUAACUGGAGGACCGAACCGACUAAUGUUGAAAAAUUAGCGGAUGACCUGUGGCUGGGGGUGAAAGGCCAAUCAAACCGGGAGAUAGCUGGUUCUCCCCGAAAGCUAUUUAGGUAGCGCCUCGUGAAUUCAUCUCCGGGGGUAGAGCACUGUUUCGGCUAGGGGGCCAUCCCGGCUUACCAACCCGAUGCAAACUGCGAAUACCGGAGAAUGUUAUCACGGGAGACACACGGCGGGUGCUAACGUCCGUCGUGAAGAGGGAAACAACCCAGACCGCCAGCUAAGGUCCCAAAGUCAUGGUUAAGUGGGAAACGAUGUGGGAAGGCCCAGACAGCCAGGAUGUUGGCUUAGAAGCAGCCAUCAUUUAAAGAAAGCGUAAUAGCUCACUGGUCGAGUCGGCCUGCGCGGAAGAUGUAACGGGGCUAAACCAUGCACCGAAGCUGCGGCAGCGACGCUUAUGCGUUGUUGGGUAGGGGAGCGUUCUGUAAGCCUGUGAAGGUGGCCUGUGAGGGUUGCUGGAGGUAUCAGAAGUGCGAAUGCUGACAUAAGUAACGAUAAAGCGGGUGAAAAGCCCGCUCGCCGGAAGACCAAGGGUUCCUGUCCAACGUUAAUCGGGGCAGGGUGAGUCGACCCCUAAGGCGAGGCCGAAAGGCGUAGUCGAUGGGAAACGGGUUAAUAUUCCCGUACUUGGUGUUACUGCGAAGGGGGGACGGAGAAGGCUAUGUUGGCCGGGCGACGGUUGCCCCGGUUUAAGCGUGUAGGUGUGUGUUCCAGGUAAAUCCGGUUCACUUUAACACUGAGGCGUGAUGACGAGGCACUACGGUGCUGAAGUAACAAAUGCCCUGCUUCCAGGAAAAGCCUCUAAGCAUCAGGUAACAUCAAAUCGUACCCCAAACCGACACAGGUGGUCAGGUAGAGAAUACCAAGGCGCUUGAGAGAACUCGGGUGAAGGAACUAGGCAAAAUGGUGCCGUAACUUCGGGAGAAGGCACGCUGACACGUAGGUGAAGUGAUUUACUCACGGAGCUGAAGUCAGUCGAAGAUACCAGCUGGCUGCAACUGUUUAUUAAAAACACAGCACUGUGCAAACACGAAAGUGGACGUAUACGGUGUGACGCCUGCCCGGUGCCGGAAGGUUAAUUGAUGGGGUCAGCGCAAGCGAAGCUCCUGAUCGAAGCCCCGGUAAACGGCGGCCGUAACUAUAACGGUCCUAAGGUAGCGAAAUUCCUUGUCGGGUAAGUUCCGACCUGCACGAAUGGCGUAAUGAUGGCCAGGCUGUCUCCACCCGAGACUCAGUGAAAUUGAACUCGCUGUGAAGAUGCAGUGUACCCGCGGCAAGACGGAAAGACCCCGUGAACCUUUACUAUAGCUUGACACUGAACAUUGAGCCUUGAUGUGUAGGAUAGGUGGGAGGCUUUGAAGUGUGGACGCCAGUCUGCAUGGAGCCGACCUUGAAAUACCACCCUUUAAUGUUUGAUGUUCUAACGUGGACCCGUUACCCGGGUUGCGGACAGUGUCUGGUGGGUAGUUUGACUGGGGCGGUCUCCUCCUAAAGAGUAACGGAGGAGCACGAAGGUUGGCUAAUCCUGGUCGGACAUCAGGAGGUUAGUGCAAUGGCAUAAGCCAGCUUGACUGCGAGCGUGACGGCGCGAGCAGGUGCGAAAGCAGGUCAUAGUGAUCCGGUGGUUCUGAAUGGAAGGGCCAUCGCUCAACGGAUAAAAGGUACUCCGGGGAUAACAGGCUGAUACCGCCCAAGAGUUCAUAUCGACGGCGGUGUUUGGCACCUCGAUGUCGGCUCAUCACAUCCUGGGGCUGAAGUAGGUCCCAAGGGUAUGGCUGUUCGCCAUUUAAAGUGGUACGCGAGCUGGGUUUAGAACGUCGUGAGACAGUUCGGUCCCUAUCUGCCGUGGGCGCUGGAGAACUGAGGGGGGCUGCUCCUAGUACGAGAGGACCGGAGUGGACGCAUCACUGGUGUUCGGGUUGUCAUGCCAAUGGCACUGCCCGGUAGCUAAAUGCGGAAGAGAUAAGUGCUGAAAGCAUCUAAGCACGAAACUUGCCCCGAGAUGAGUUCUCCCUGAGACUUAAAGUCUCCUGAAGGAACGUUGAAGACGACGACGUUGAUAGGCCGGGUGUGUAAGCGCAGCGAUGCGUUGAGCUAACCGGUACUAAUGAACCGUGAGGCUUAACCCUACAACGCCGAAG
Molecule: ribosomal RNA, 2929 nt
Filed under: Salmonella enterica subsp. enterica serovar Dublin
Lineage: Bacteria; Pseudomonadati; Pseudomonadota; Gammaproteobacteria; Enterobacterales; Enterobacteriaceae
Description: bacterial LSU rRNA
Rfam family: Bacterial large subunit ribosomal RNA
Source: RNAcentral